This 401-nucleotide ribosomal RNA is filed under the name Escherichia coli. Its description in RNAcentral is "partial 23S ribosomal RNA". It matches the Rfam family "Bacterial large subunit ribosomal RNA", at positions 1488 to 1869 of the family's 2925-position model. Lineage: Bacteria; Pseudomonadati; Pseudomonadota; Gammaproteobacteria; Enterobacterales; Enterobacteriaceae. The record is from RNAcentral.
UGGCCGGGCGACGGUUGUCCCGGUUUAAGCGUGUAGGCUGGUUUUCCAGGCAAAUCCGGAAAAUCAAGGCUGAGGCGUGAUGACGAGGCACUACGGUGCUGAAGCAACAAAUGCCCUGCUUCCAGGAAAAGCCUCUAAGCAUCAGGUAACAUCAAAUCGUACCCCAAACCGACACAGGUGGUCAGGUAGAGAAUACCAAGGCGCUUGAGAGAACUCGGGUGAAGGAACUAGGCAAAAUGGUGCCGUAACUUCGGGAGAAGGCACGCUGAUAUGUAGGUGAAGUCCCUCGCGGAUGGAGCUGAAAUCAGUCGAAGAUACCAGCUGGCUGCAACUGUUUAUUAAAAACACAGCACUGUGCAAACACGAAAGUGGACGUAUACGGUGUGACGCCUGCCCGGUGC